This 616-nucleotide long non-coding RNA is filed under the name Mytilus galloprovincialis (Mediterranean mussel). The record is from RNAcentral. Lineage: Eukaryota; Metazoa; Mollusca; Bivalvia; Mytilida; Mytilidae.
CAGACAAACAUACGCUAUUAUUAAUUUACAUUAUUACUUUGAUGGCUACUAUAUGUACCAUCAGAAGCACAAUGGCAUGUCGUAACUAAGUAGUACGCCGACAUCUUGACUCUAAAUAACUUUAAUGUUCGAUAAAUGCAACAGAAUCUAAAAUGAACUAGCACCUACCUCAAAAACUUCAUUUUAAUUAGAUACUAUCCGAAUUUCAAGUGUACAAGUAACAAAAUAAUCUUCCGUCUGAAAGUUUUCAAUCGUAUGACGUCGUGUUUUGCCAUGACGUAAAUUCGCCAAAUCAUUCGUGAAAUUUCCCGGAAUUUUAUUUAAAUUUUAUUUUUUAUACAUUUUCGAAGCUUUAGUGCAUUUAUUUUAUUUCUUUUUUUCUUUUGGUUAUAUAUGCAUUAGAAUAGAAACAACUGUUAUGCAAUUGUUUUAUAAUCUCAACUUGCUUAAAAUCCCAUUAUCCCUGCAAGAAUGUGUAUUGCGCAUGAAUAGAUUACAAAAGUAGUUUCGGAAACAUGGUUUAUCGAAGUGUAAACCAAGAGAAAAAUUCUAAUUGACCAAUCCAAUUCAAGUAUUUAUAGAUAUGCAAAUGAUAUAAGAAUUAUUGACAUAUAUA